GGCUGUUCUGGAGGUAGUGCGUUACCUCAAUUGAUAACUCACACAGUCAGUUACAAAUUGAACUCCUGUUCUGUUUCCCUCUAACCCCUCCCCCCCCACACUCACUACUGCACUUGACUAGAGACAGAG
RNAcentral lists this non-coding RNA (129 nucleotides) under Mus pahari (shrew mouse). The record is from RNAcentral. Lineage: Eukaryota; Metazoa; Chordata; Mammalia; Rodentia; Muridae.